This 253-nucleotide ribosomal RNA is filed under the name uncultured bacterium. RNAcentral describes it as "partial 16S ribosomal RNA". It matches the Rfam family "Bacterial small subunit ribosomal RNA", at positions 524 to 776 of the family's 1533-position model. The record is from RNAcentral.
UACGAAGGGAGCUAGCGUUGUUCGGAAUUACUGGGCGUAAAGGGCUCGUAGGCGGCCAACUAAGUCGGAUGUGAAAUCCCCAGGCUUAACCUGGGAACUGCAUCCGAUACUGGUUGGCUUGAAUCCGGGAGAGGGAUGCAGAAUUCCAGGUGUAGCGGUGAAAUGCGUAGAUAUCUGGAGGAAUACCGGUGGCGAAGGCGGCAUCCUGGACCGGCAUUGACGCUGAUGAGCGAAAGCUAGGGGAGCAAACAGG